RNAcentral lists this long non-coding RNA (481 nucleotides) under Phoenix dactylifera (date palm). RNAcentral's name for it is "long non-coding RNA (PDAC_LNC001648)". Lineage: Eukaryota; Viridiplantae; Streptophyta; Magnoliopsida; Arecales; Arecaceae. The record is from RNAcentral.
AGUACCACAGCCUCCUAAACUUGCUUCCAACUCCAUGGGUGUAGCUCCGAGCACCGGUGUCGAGGCUCCGGCGACCAGUUCACGCCGGAUUCCAGUGAGGGGUGGAAUCCUGAACCGCAUUCUGAAGCUCUUCUGCUUUCGGUCAACCCUGAAGGGUUCGACAUUGGACUUGAAGAAGAAGAAGAAGUAGUAGUAGAAGAAGAAGGGUAUGCCCAGCUGCUUAUGUUGCUAUAAUAUUACGUUGCAUUAAAAUAGAGAACUGCCUGCUAGGGUUAGCGUUCCCAAUCCCCACCUUAAGUAGGUGAUAGAGUUAUGUGUGCACGAAAUCUUAAUUAGUUGGCAUGCAAUGAUGUUUAGCUAAAAUUAGAAUGUAUUGACAAAUCUUUGCUAUAGUGUCAUGUAAUACAUAGUAUUUGCUUUUGGCCUUAAGUACAAUGGGGUCUUGAUCAUAUAUGUAAUUUGUAUGUACUACGUAUACACC